GUCUUUNUGAUUAAUAUAUAUAAAAAGUUUGACCUGCCCAGUGGUAUACGUAUUAAACGGCCGCAGUAGCCUGACUGUGCAAAGGUAGCAUAAUAAUUUGCCUUUUAAUUGGUGGCUAGUAUGAAUGGUUCGACGAAAGCAUUUCUGUCUCAAAUAUAUUUUAUAUAAUUUAUCUUUUAAGUUAAAAGACUCAAAUAAAACUAAAGGACGAGAAGACCCUAUCGAGCUUAAAAAGUACUUCAGAGAAAUGGUAUUAUUAAAAUCUAUUUUUCCUGAAAUAUUUUUUGGUUGGGGCAACCAAGGAACAAAUAAAGCUUCUUUAAGUAAUAAUAAUAAGUGCAAAGAUCCAACUUAAUGUUGAUAAAUGGAAUUAGUUACCGUAGGGAUAACAGCGUUAUUUUUUCUGAGAGACCAUAUCGAAGAAAAAGUUUGCGACCUCGAUGUUGGAUUGAGAUAACUUAAAGGUGCAGACGCUUUUGUAAGUUAGUCUGUUCGACUAUUAAAAUCUCACGUGAUCUGAGUUCAGACCGG
This 531-nucleotide ribosomal RNA is filed under the name Cochlostoma septemspirale septemspirale. Its description in RNAcentral is "partial 16S ribosomal RNA". It matches the Rfam family "Bacterial large subunit ribosomal RNA", at positions 1819 to 2619 of the family's 2925-position model. Lineage: Eukaryota; Metazoa; Mollusca; Gastropoda; Architaenioglossa; Cochlostomatidae. The record is from RNAcentral.